AAUCCUCAUAAUCGUGUUUGUGGGACCGGAUAUCCGGUUCCGUAACCCACACCUCGCAGCUAUGCUGAAGUAGAUGGUUGGUGGCGUUAUUGGGGACGGGCCAUGUGCUUGAUGCCCGAAACUGCAGAUNNNNNNNNNNGAUUUUAUUGCGCUGGUGGGGAGCACGAUUGCUUGGACAGUCCCCGCCUCUGCACAGACGAUGCCCGUCA
This 209-nucleotide unclassified non-coding RNA is filed under the name Hevea brasiliensis (rubber tree). Lineage: Eukaryota; Viridiplantae; Streptophyta; Magnoliopsida; Malpighiales; Euphorbiaceae. The record is from RNAcentral.